CCUACGGGUGGCAGCAGUGAGGAAUAUUGGUCAAUGGGCGGGAGCCUGAACCAGCCAAGUCGCGUGAAGGAAGAAGGUACUUAGUAUUGUAAACCUCUUUUGUCGGGGAGCAAAGCGAGUCACGUGUGACUCAUUGAGAGUACCCGAAGAAAAAGCAUCGGCUAACUCCGUGCCAGCAGCCGCGGUAAUACGGAGGAUGCGAGCGUUAUCCGGAUUUAUUGGGUUUAAAGGGUGCGCAGGCGGAGGUGCAAGUCAGCGGUCAAAUUGCGGGGCUCAACCCCGUACUGCCGUUGAAACUGCAUCCCUUGAGUGCGCGAGAAGUAUGCGGAAUGCGUGGUGUAGCGGUGAAAUGCAUAGAUAUCACGCAGAACUCCGAUUGCGAAGGCAGCAUACCGGCGCGCAACUGACGCUCAUGCACGAAAGCGUGGGUAUCGAACAGCAUUAGAUACCCUUGUAGUC
This 459-nucleotide ribosomal RNA is filed under the name uncultured bacterium. RNAcentral's name for it is "partial 16S ribosomal RNA". It matches the Rfam family "Bacterial small subunit ribosomal RNA", at positions 338 to 795 of the family's 1533-position model. The record is from RNAcentral.